AACGAACGCUGGCGGCGCGCCUAAUACAUGCAAGUCGAGCGAGAAGGUGUAGCAAUACACUUGUAAAGCGGCGAACGGGUGAGGAAUACAUGGGUAACCUACCCUCGAGUGGGGAAUAACUAGCCGAAAGGUUAGCUAAUACCGCGUACGCUUCCGGGACUGCGGUUCCGGAAGGAAAGCGAUACUGUGAGUAUCGCGCUCUUGGAUGGGCUCAUGUCCUAUCAGCUUGUUGGUGAGGUAACGGCUCACCAAGGCUUCGACGGGUAGCUGGUCUGAGAGGACGAUCAGCCACACUGGCACUGCGACACGGGCCAGACUCCUACGGGAGGCAGCAGUAAGGAAUAUUGCGCAAUGGACGACAGUCUGACGCAGCGACGCCGCGUGGGGGACGAAGGUCUUCGGAUUGUAAACCCCUUUCGGGAGGG
Molecule: ribosomal RNA, 425 nt
Filed under: uncultured bacterium
Lineage: Bacteria
Description: bacterial SSU rRNA
Rfam family: Bacterial small subunit ribosomal RNA
Source: RNAcentral